UAGCUCAGUUGGUAGAGUGUUUGCCUUGCAUGCACAAGGCCCUGGGUUCAAUCCCCAG
This 58-nucleotide transfer RNA is filed under the name Marmota marmota marmota (Alpine marmot). It matches the Rfam family "tRNA", at positions 8 to 63 of the family's 71-position model. From Rfam's summary of the family: Transfer RNA (tRNA) molecules are approximately 80 nucleotides in length. Their secondary structure includes four short double-helical elements and three loops (D, anti-codon, and T loops). The record is from Rfam by way of RNAcentral. Lineage: Eukaryota; Metazoa; Chordata; Mammalia; Rodentia; Sciuridae. RNAcentral also lists the same sequence under 5 other names.